This 337-nucleotide ribosomal RNA is filed under the name uncultured bacterium. Its description in RNAcentral is "partial 16S ribosomal RNA". It matches the Rfam family "Bacterial small subunit ribosomal RNA", at positions 338 to 692 of the family's 1533-position model. The record is from RNAcentral.
CCUACGGGUGGCAGCAGUAGGGAAUAUUGCUCAAUGGGGGAAACCCUGAAGCAGCAACGCCGCGUGGAGGAUGAAGGUUUUCGGAUUGGAAACUCCGUUUGAUAGAGAAGAGAAUGACGGUAAGUAAGGAAUAAGGAACGGCUAACUCCGUGCCAGCAUCCGCGGUAAUACGGAGGGUGCAAGCGUUACUCGGAAUGACUGGGCGUCAAGAGCGCGUAGGGGGGUUAGCAAGUCAGAUGUGAAUUCCUAUGGCUUAACCAUAGAACUGCAUUUGAAACGGUUAUUCUAGAGUAUGGGAGAGGUAGGUGGAAUUCUUGGUGUAGUGGUCAAAUCCGUA